AACGAACGCUGGCGGCAUGCCUAACACAUGCAAGUCGAACGAAGCCUUCGGGCUUAGUGGCGCACGGGUGCGUAACGCGUGGGAAUCUGCCCUUGGGUUCGGAAUAACAGUUAGAAAUGACUGCUAAUACCGAAUGAUGUCUUCGGACCAAAGAUUUAUCGCCCAAGGAUGAGCCCGCGUCGGAUUAGCUAGUUGGUGAGGUAAAGGCUCACCAAGGCGACGAUCCGUAGCUGGUCUGAGAGGAUGAUCAGCCACACUGGGACUGAGACACGGCCCAGACUCCUACGGGAGGCAGCAGUGGGGAAUAUUGGACGAUGGGCGAAAGCCUGAUCCAGCAAUGCCGCGUGAGUGAUGAAGGCCUUAGGGUUGUAAAGCUCUUUUACCCGGGAUGAUAAUGACAGUACCGGGAGAAUAAGCCCCGGCUAACUCCGUGCCAGCAGCCGCGGUAAU
This 450-nucleotide ribosomal RNA is filed under the name uncultured bacterium. Its description in RNAcentral is "bacterial SSU rRNA". It matches the Rfam family "Bacterial small subunit ribosomal RNA", at positions 29 to 524 of the family's 1533-position model. The record is from RNAcentral.